Molecule: ribosomal RNA, 429 nt
Filed under: Acidobacteriota bacterium
Lineage: Bacteria; Pseudomonadati; Acidobacteriota
Description: Acidobacteria bacterium partial 16S ribosomal RNA
Rfam family: Bacterial small subunit ribosomal RNA
Source: RNAcentral
UGGGGAAUUUUGGACAAUGGGGGAAACCCUGAUCCAGCCAUCCCGCGUGUGCGAUGAAGGCCUUCGGGUUGUAAAGCACUUUUGGCAGGAAAGAAACGUCAUGGGUUAAUACCCCGUGAAACUGACGGUACCUGCAGAAUAAGCACCGGCUAACUACGUGCCAGCAGCCGCGGUAAUACGUAGGGUGCAAGCGUUAAUCGGAAUUACUGGGCGUAAAGCGUGCGCAGGCGGUUCGGAAAGAAAGAUGUGAAAUCCCAGAGCUCAACUUUGGAACUGCAUUUUUAACUACCGGGCUAGAGUGUGUCAGAGGGAGGUGGAAUUCCGCGUGUAGCAGUGAAAUGCGUAGAUAUGCGGAGGAACACCGAUGGCGAAGGCAGCCUCCUGGGAUAAAACUGACGCACAUGCACGAAAGCGUGGGGAGCAAACAGG